AGAAAGUGAUGACAACGCUAGGCAUUGAUCGAUAUGACUCACGCGGUCCUGAACGCAAUCUGAUCUGCGUUUUCAGUACGUGGCGAGUAAGGCGGUCGGUCGGUUGAAAC
RNAcentral lists this microRNA precursor (110 nucleotides) under Haemonchus contortus (barber pole worm). RNAcentral's name for it is "microRNA hco-mir-5970 precursor". Lineage: Eukaryota; Metazoa; Nematoda; Chromadorea; Rhabditida; Trichostrongylidae. The record is from miRBase by way of RNAcentral.